This 186-nucleotide non-coding RNA is filed under the name Wenzhouxiangellaceae bacterium. RNAcentral's name for it is "6S RNA". It matches the Rfam family "6S / SsrS RNA". Rfam says of the family: E. coli 6S RNA was the first non coding RNA to be sequenced, but its function was unknown until recently. It consists of 184 nucleotides that fold into an extended hairpin structure with a large single-stranded internal bulge. The record is from RNAcentral. Lineage: Bacteria; Pseudomonadati; Pseudomonadota; Gammaproteobacteria; Chromatiales; Wenzhouxiangellaceae.
UGCUCUCUGCGGUGUUCGCCAGUGAGAUCGCAUUAUGCCUUGUCCCUACUUUUUGACCUUGGGACAGCCACUUUCAGGGCCGGUGUGCACAUUCGUUCUGCGAAUAGCCUGAAGGCCCGAAGAGCUCUCCCACCUGAACCUCUGGUUCAAGGUCACCGAUCUUGCAGCGGCAUUUGCGGAGAGCAC